CAAAUGGACCAAAAUGGUAAUCUAAAUAUGAAUUAUAUAGAUUAAUAAUGAAAUGGAAAUCUAAAUAUGUAUUAGGGAGUGGGUGGGUGGGACCGGUGCAAAAUGUGAUAGGAUACACAUUUAUUUUGACUUGCAUACUAAUAGGACUCCAACUUUUUUUUUUUUUAUUUUCAACAGUGAUAGGACAGCUAUAUAUUUUUUGCAAACGUAGUAAAGAACAAAAAAUAUAAAGUAUUUCAAACUUUUAAUUCAACUAUCUUUUUAAAAAAUAAUAAUACUGAAUUGUGUGCAUGCUUUAUUUCAUGUCCAAGCUAAAUAUACUAAAGGCAAUUUGCGAUAAAAUACUGAACCUUUGAAAUUUUUUAUAUUAAAACAUGUAGUCAUUUUUUAAAAUCUCAAAAGAAGUAUUCAGCUGUGAAUAGGGUCGGAAAGUCUCGUUUACUUUCACUUUCGAUUUACUACUUCCGGGCAGCAGUCGAAAAAUGUCACUUUGUUUUGCGUUGGUUAUGCUCAGAUGACAAGUGUUAAAAUGAACCUACAGCCUAUAUAGAUUCCCUACUUAUGCAAAAAGAAGAAGAAGUGGAUUUAUAGUUGCAGAUGCUGUUAUAUACAUCAUUUCCUUCAGAAGUAUCAAUGUGUUGGCGGCUGUUAUGAAGAGAAUGGGGCCCAUUUUAACAACUUCUAGGAUGGGCAGUACUUGGGUUCAUACCAGUGAUCAAUUUCUCAUGACUCUUAUGAAGUUGCACCUAAAUCUAAGGGAUCUACAUUUAGCAGGCCAGAGGGCUCAAUGCCGAAUUUACCUCUGAAAAAAUCGCAAUGGAUACAACAAACAUAACACUGAAUUUAACUUUAAAAUUGAAUAACUAGUCAUUAUCUGACAGCAACUACAUUGUGCAAAAUUUGUCACACAGCAAAGGCUAUCACUUGUGUAGCAUAAUUGUUCUGAAUUCUAUCCAGAAUCCACCUCUGAUGGUGACAUUGUUGAUCACUGAGGUGUAUUGGAGAUGUUGAAGCCAUAUGAUAUAUGAUUCUUGCUAAUAAAGGAUUUGAUAUAUUU
Ostrea edulis (European flat oyster) is the source of this 1057-nucleotide long non-coding RNA. RefSeq lists it as uncharacterized. NCBI's taxonomy places the organism in Eukaryota, Metazoa, Mollusca, Bivalvia, Ostreida, Ostreidae. The transcript is spliced from 2 exons. The record is from RefSeq and is a predicted model, not a curated record.